AGCAGCCCCCAGCAGCGGAGGGGAGCGCGGCAGCCCCCCCAGCCCGGCUCUGAGCCGUGUGGGCGGAGCGAGGAGCAGCACAGCAGCCGCCAUUUCACGGCACGGCCCGCAUGGAGCGGCCCCGUGGCAGAGCCUGGCUAUAAAAGACCCCCACGCGGGGACUGCAGGGCCCGCAGGGUGCCCGGGGCAGGCAGGACAUUGCUGAGGACGCCCCAUCGCAGGCAGUGUGCGGUCCGUCAGCCCAGCACCACUGAGGCUGCAGGGACAGAUGGCAUCAGUCGGCCAUCCCCAUCACUGAGCACCGCCUGGGGGCCGCCCGCACCCCCCACACACACACACACACUCCCAACAGGUGCUGCAGGCUGCCCAGGGUGGGCAGGCACUUCCUCAAGACACCCAGCAUCUCCUCCUCCACUUUCCAGCCUGGCAGAUGCAAGGAAUGGGAUGAGACAAAAAGCCUCUACAGCGGCCUCGCAGCCAUCCUAGGGGCUGGGGGGGGCAGCACAGCUCACUCCUCCCCACUGCUGCUUCCCCACCUCGCAGGAAGACCCCGCAGACACUCCGUCGUUCAGCAGCAACACGCGGAUGCAGCUCUGCCAGUCUGCAGGGCUCUGCACCCUCGGCUCUACAGAGAACGGCCGCACGGUGACCGUGGGGACGGAGGCGAUGCCGGUUGGGGUGCAGAGCUCAGCCAGGUCCUGCUGCAGGAGCCCACAGCAAUGGUGCUGCUCAGCGCCCUGCUCAGCUCUCUGCUCGC
This 757-nucleotide long non-coding RNA is filed under the name Gallus gallus (chicken). The record is from RNAcentral. Lineage: Eukaryota; Metazoa; Chordata; Aves; Galliformes; Phasianidae.